UUGUAAUAAUUCAGAUAUCUCUCCUUAGACCAACAACCUUAAAUUUCAUGGCUUCCACAUCAAGCCUGAAGCGCACAAAUUCAAUAACAGAUAACAUGUCAUCAUCGGAUAAAUCGAAGCAAAGUAGGUACCAUAUGAAGAAGUGUUUCGCCAAGUACCUUGAGAAAGGUAGAAGGAUUAUAAAACUUCAUGACUUGAUGGAAGAAAUGGAGCAAGUUAUAAAUGACAACACUCACAUUUAUCAAAUAUUGGAGGGAAAUCUAGGCUUCUUAUUAAGUUUUACACAGGAAGCUGUUGUUGAUCCACCAUAUGUUGCUUUUGCAGUAAGGUCAGCCCCUGGAGUUUGGGAAUAUGUAAAAGUGAGCUCUGAGAACCUUUCAGUUGAACCUAUAACAUCCACUGAUUACCUCAAAUUUAAGGAAAGAAUAUUCCAUGAAAAAUGGGCAAAUGAUGAAAAUUCAUUUGAAGCAGAUUUUGGAGCAUUUGACUUUCCUAUUCCAAACUUAACAUUGCCUUCUUCAAUUGGAAAUGGACUCCAUUUUGUUUCAAAGUUCUUAACUUCAAGGUUUAGUGGCAAAUUGGCAAAAACACAACCUAUAUUGGACUACUUGUUAUCACUAAAUCAUCAAGGAGAAAGUCUAAUGAUAAAUGAUACCUUGAGCUCAGUUGCAAAGCUGCAGCUGGCACUAACAGUGGCUGAUGCAUUCCUCUUAGCACUUCCAUUGGAUACUCCCUAUCAUGAUUUUGAACCAAGGUUUAAGCAGUGGGGUUUUGAAAAAGGAUGGGGAGAUACUGCAGGAAGAGUGAAAGAUACAAUGAGAACUUUGUCAGAAGUACUCCAAGCUCCAGACCCAAUAAACAUGGAGAAAUUUUUCAGCAGAGUUCCUACAAUAUUCAAUAUUGUGAUAUUCUCUAUUCAUGGUUAUUUUGGGCAAGCUGAUGUUCUUGGCUUGCCAGAUACUGGUGGACAGGUAGUUUACAUAUUGGAUCAAGUGAGAGCUUUGGAAGCAGAGUUGCUACUUAGGAUUAAUCAACAAGGCUUAAAUGUGAAGCCUCAAAUUCUUGUGGUCACAAGGCUCAUACCUGAUGCUCAAGGAACCAAAUGCAAUCAGGAGUUGGAACCAAUCAUUGAUACCAUGCACUCGAAAAUUCUACGUGUGCCUUUUCAGACAGAUAAAGGAAUCCUGCGCCAAUGGGUUUCUCGCUUCGACAUUUAUCCUUAUCUCGAGAGGUUUACCCAGGAUGCCACAACUAAGAUUCUCAACCUCAUGGAAGGAAAACCAGAUCUUGUUAUAGGAAAUUACACUGAUGGGAAUUUGGCAGCUUCUCUUAUGGCUAGCAAACUUAGAAUAACUCAAGGAACUAUAGCACAUGCUUUAGAGAAGACUAAGUAUGAAGAUUCAGAUGUCAAGUGGAAAGAAUUGGAUCCAAAGUAUCACUUCUCAUGCCAAUUCAUGGCUGAUACAAUUGCAAUGAAUGCAUCAGAUUUCAUCAUAACCAGCACAUAUCAGGAAAUUGCUGGAAGCAAAGAUAAACCUGGACAGUAUGAAAGUCAUGCAACAUUUACACUCCCAGGACUUUGCAGAGUUGUUUCAGGGAUAAAUAUAUUUGAUCCUAAGUUCAACAUAGCUGCACCUGGAGCUGACCAAUCUGUCUAUUUUCCUUACACAGAAAAAGACAAAAGACUCACUCAAUUUCAUCCUGCCAUUGAAGACUUACUAUAUAGUAAAGUGGAUAACAAAGAUCAUAUUGGAUAUCUGGAAAACAGAAGAAAACCUAUCAUCUUCUCAAUGGCAAGGCUUGAUGUUGUGAAGAACAUAACUGGUUUAGUCGAAUGGUACGGUAAGAAUCCGAGAUUGAGAGGCCUAGUGAACCUUGUCAUUGUUGGAGGAUUCUUUAAUCCUUUGAAAUCAAAAGACAGAGAAGAAAUGACAGAAAUAAAAAAAAUGCAUGGUUUAAUUGAAAAGUAUCAACUGAAGGGUCAAUUUAGAUGGAUAGUUGCACAGACUGAUAGACAUCGGAACGGAGAGCUUUAUCGCUUCGUCGCAGACACGAAGGGAGCUUUUGUGCAGCCUGCUUUAUAUGAAGCAUUUGGUCUUACUGUCAUUGAAGCAAUGAACUGUGGUUUGCCUACUUUUGCUACUAACCAUGGUGGGCCUGCUGAAAUUAUUGUUGAUGGUGUUUCUGGUUUUCAUAUUGAUCCUCUUAAUGGAGAAGAAUCAAGCAACAAAAUUGCUGAUUUCUUUGAAAAAUGUAAAGUGGAUUCAACACAUUGGAAUAUGAUUUCUGUGACCGGAUUGCAGCGCAUUAAUGAAAGUUAUACUUGGAAGAUCUAUGCAAACAAGUUGCUGAAUAUGGGAAACAUUUAUACCUUUUGGAGACAAGUGAAUAAUGAACCAAAAGUGGCAAAACAAAGAUACAUUUGGAUGUUCUAUAAUCUUAUGUUUAAGAAUUUGUGUUACACAGGUGAAGACUAUAUUUGUUCUAAGUGAUGAACCUCAACAACCAGUGUCUAACUCCAAGCAACAAAAUCUCAGCAAAAAGGGAACAAGGCGUUCGAAGUCCAAAUCGCAGAGUUAAGAUCAACCACACAAACACAAGUUAAUGUAACUUAUUUUCAUCUGUGCAACAACUUAUUCAAGAAAAUCUUGCUCACAUAAUUAAUUUCAUUAUAAAUAAGUUGUAUAUUUGUUGCCAAAUGACAACCUUUCAAUGUUUUCAAUAAAAUCCUUAUGCACAAAGAGAAGAUAUGAAACUAUUGUUAUCUUAACUACCAAGUGUAAAUCAUAUCAAAAGAAUUUCAAAGUUUCGUGAA
Cicer arietinum (chickpea) is the source of this 2815-nucleotide RNA transcript. It is a transcript of the gene named sucrose synthase 5-like, with no coding region annotated. The record is from RefSeq and is a predicted model, not a curated record. Lineage: Eukaryota; Viridiplantae; Streptophyta; Magnoliopsida; Fabales; Fabaceae.